UACAGAGGAUGCAAGCGUUAUCCGGAAUGAUUGGGCGUAAAGCGUCCGCAGGUGGUUUUGUAAGUCUGCUGUUAAAGCGUUAGGCUCAACCUAAUAAGGGCAGUGGAAACUAUGAGACUAGAGUAUGUUAGGGGUAGAGGGAAUUCCCAGUGUAGCGGUGAAAUGCGUAGAGAUUGGGAAGAACACCGGUGGCGAAAGCGCUCUGCUGGGCCGUUGCUGACGCUGAGGCGCGACAGCGUGGGGAGCAAACAGG
Molecule: ribosomal RNA, 253 nt
Filed under: uncultured bacterium
Lineage: Bacteria
Description: partial 16S ribosomal RNA
Rfam family: Bacterial small subunit ribosomal RNA
Source: RNAcentral